RNAcentral lists this ribosomal RNA (547 nucleotides) under uncultured Glomeromycotina. RNAcentral's name for it is "SSU rRNA". It matches the Rfam family "Eukaryotic small subunit ribosomal RNA", at positions 549 to 1098 of the family's 1831-position model. Lineage: Eukaryota; Fungi; Glomeromycota. The record is from RNAcentral.
UGGAGGGCAAGUCUGGUGCCAGCAGCCGCGGUAAUUCCAGCUCCAAUAGCGUAUAUUAAAGUUGUUGCAGUUAAAAAGCUCGUAGUUGAAUUUCGGGAUCAAUUUAUUGGUCGUGCUAUUGUACGUACUGGUAUUAUUGAUUCCUACCUUCUGACGAACCAUGAUGUCAUUAAUUUGGUGUCAUGGGGAAUCAGGACUGUUACUUUGAAAAAAUUAGAGUGUUUAAAGCAGGCUCAUGCUUGAAUACAUUAGCAUGGAAUAACGAAAUAGGACGUUUGAUUCUAUUUUGUUGGUUUCUAGGAUCGACGUAAUGAUUAAUAGGGAUAGUUGGGGGCAUUAGUAUUCAAUUGUCAGAGGUGAAAUUCUUGGAUUUAUUGAAGACUAACUACUGCGAAAGCAUUUGCCAAGGAUGUUUUCAUUAAUCAAGAACGAAAGUUAGGGGAUCGAAGACGAUCAGAUACCGUCGUAGUCUUAACCAUAAACUAUGCCGACUAGGGAUCGGACGAUGUUAAUUUUUUAAUGACUCGUUCGGCGCCUUACGGGAAAC